CACACACACCGACAUGGAUACACACUAAAUAUCUCUCUACACUUUACACUCUCAUACAGCAACAAACCAAGAAAAACAUCGGCUCCCCUCCAGACCGCCAUCUUCUGCUCCUCCGGCAGCGCCUUAGCCGCCGGCCAUUGGCCGUAUCUUUCUUGCUCACAGCUUCUUCCUCUCUAUCUUCUCCAACCUCCAUUAAUGGAUUUCAAGGUUGAAGCUUUGUUUCCCCAAACUCAAGUUUCUUGCAAAUUAAGGUUAAGGAGUCGGUGAUGAGGCAGCGGUCAACGUGGUCCACGGUCUCCCAACCCUGUAUUUGACUAGUAUCCAUUUUUGGAUUUUGGGGUAAAUAUGAUCGUUGAGAUAUUAUUAUAUAUUUUGAAAACGUGCAUGUGUCCGAUGAUGGGAAUUUGUAUGGGUUGUGAGCCAGAGAUAUGUUUUCUAUUAAAGAUGUGUAUGUUGGGGGGAAUGUUCCGAAUAGACGAAUUAUUUUAAUUUCGCUAAA
Long non-coding RNA from Salvia hispanica, 499 nucleotides. RefSeq lists it as uncharacterized. The record is from RefSeq and is a predicted model, not a curated record. Lineage: Eukaryota; Viridiplantae; Streptophyta; Magnoliopsida; Lamiales; Lamiaceae.